AACGUAGGUACCGAGCGUUAUCCGGAUUUACUGGGCGUAAAGCGCGUUCAGGCGGUUUGGCAAGUCGGGCCUGAAAUCUCUCGGCUCAACCGGGAGAGGUUGUCCGAUACUUCCAGACUUGAGGGCAGUAGAGGGUGGUGGAAUUCCGGGUGUAGUGGUGAAAUGCGUAGAUAUCCGGAGGAACACCAGUGGCGAAAGCAGUGUCCUGGGGAGUACCUGACGCUCAGGUGCGAAAGCCAGGGGAGCGAACGGG
RNAcentral lists this ribosomal RNA (253 nucleotides) under uncultured bacterium. RNAcentral's name for it is "partial 16S ribosomal RNA". It matches the Rfam family "Bacterial small subunit ribosomal RNA", at positions 524 to 776 of the family's 1533-position model. The record is from RNAcentral.